AGAUUCGAGUUACCAUCUUCUGUCAUUUCUUCUCACCCUGAAGGACUUCUUUUAGUAUUUACUGUGAGACAGGAUGGCCGGUGCAAGCAGCAGACCCGUCCUCGCAUCCUUCGUUCAAGACCCAAGUCCCAGCGGACAGCGCCAACCGGCCCAUCCUUGGCUGAUCCCAGGGAUGAAGAGGGGUCCAGCCAGAAGACCCUCCAGAUACCUUCAGCCUCUGAGAAUAUCUGCCCACUCUGGACCCACGUUUUCCUGUGCGUAAUUGGAAGAAGCUGAACACGAUGGGUGUGCCAGGCUCUGUUCCAGACAUGAGAAGUCCAAUGGUGAGCACAUAGGCCGGCCAGCCCAUGUCCAGGAGCUGACUGUCCAGCUGGCAAACCUGUGAGCAGGUAGAUCUGUGAACCAUAAUUUGCUGCUUGGGAGCAAAUGCAACAGCGAUGGAGAAUAAA
Molecule: long non-coding RNA, 449 nt
Organism: Physeter macrocephalus (sperm whale)
Lineage: Eukaryota; Metazoa; Chordata; Mammalia; Artiodactyla; Physeteridae
Exons: 4
Source: RefSeq, a predicted model, not a curated record